RNAcentral lists this long non-coding RNA (4001 nucleotides) under Homo sapiens (human). RNAcentral's name for it is "HSALNT0311503". Lineage: Eukaryota; Metazoa; Chordata; Mammalia; Primates; Hominidae. The record is from RNAcentral.
UCUUCUUUUUCUUUUAUUGCUUGUGCUUUUGGUGUCAUAUCUAAGAACCACUGUUUAAUUCAAAAUCACAAAGAUUUACAUCCUUGUUUCUUCUUAAGAGUUUUCUAGUCUUGGCUUAUACUUAGGUCUUUGAUCUAUUUUGAGUUAUUUUUUGCAUAUAGUGUGGGGUAGGGAUCCAAUUUCAUUUGUUUGCAUAUGGCUAUCCAGUUGUCCCAGCACCAUGUGCUGAAAAGAUUAUUCUUUCCUCAUUCAAUUAUCUUGACACCCUUGUUGAACACUAUAUGUGAGAGUUUAUUUCUGGCCUCUCAAUUCUAUUACAUUGGUCUAUAAGUCUGUCCUUAUGCCGGUAUUACAUAUUGUAUCCUUCUUAAGGUGUCUGCUUAUAUGCAUUCAUUCAUCAAAUGCUCAGUAGGCAACUACCACAUACCAGACACUCUCUAGGUGCUGUAGAUUGGAACUAAAGCACAGCUGGAGCUUACCUUUUUAGAGAAGACAUAUAAUUAAACUAUUCAUAAGUAACAUACAUAGUUUAUGAAACAAAGAAGAGGAAGUUUUGGUAGUAGGACUAAAAUGUAGACAGGAUAGCCAGGGGAAGGUGACUCUCAAUAAAGACCUGAAGGAAGGAAGCUGGGCAGGCUUUCUUCUGGGGGAAAAGCAUGUUGGGUCAGGGGAAAGGCAAAUGUAAAGGCCCUGAGGCAGUAGCCUGGCUGUUCAAGGAACACAGAGGAAGGCCUGUGUGUCUGGAAUGGAUUGCAAGAACGUUGAGAGGAGUUGAUGAUAAGGGCAGAGAGAUAAUCAUGGGCCUGAUUCUAUAGGGUUUCAAAAGUCAUAGUGAGGACAUUGACUUUUAUUUUAAAUCAGAUGGGAACCUGCUGGAGGUUUCUGGAUGGAGAAGUGAUGUGUAAGGUUAUUAACAAAACCACUGUGGCUGCUGUGUUGAGACCAGACAAAAGCAGAAGGGUGGCCCAAGAACAGAGCCCAAGACUGUCUGGCCAUCAGAGAGAGUGGGCAAGAAGCACACACAACAAAACACACACAAAAAAAGGGAGAGAGGAAGAGAGAAAUGGAGGGGAGGAGACAUGGAGGGAGGGAAGGAGGAAGAGAUACUAAAGAAGAGUGGUCAGAAAGGCAGGAGGAAAAGCAAGUGAUGUAGGGACCUGAAAAUCAAAUGAAAACAGUGUUUCCAGGAGAGAGGAGUCAGGUAAGGUGAGGCCUGAGAAAGGACCAUGGCAUUAGCAAGGUGCUGAUCACCAGAGACCUUCAGAAGUGGUGUCUUGGUGGACUAAUGGUUCAAAAUAAUAUGAAAGAAGAAGAACUGGAGACAGUAAGCAUGAACAAUUUACACAAGUUUUGUUUAAAGACAAAUGAGGCAGUAAUUAGAGGGAAAUGUAAGGCCAGGGUAGAAGAAAUAACAGCAUGUUUAUGCACCGAUGAGGAUGAUCCUAUAGAAAGGGAAAAAGACAAUGCAAGUGAGAGUGAGGGAGUCUCCUGGAGCCUGUGCUGGAGACAUGUGAGAGAAUAGAAUCCAGCCCCUGAGUGUGGAGGUGUCCCUCAUGGGGCGCAGAUGUGGGCCAUCUGCAGUGACAGGAGAAAAAGUCAAAUACAUGGGCACAAAUGCAUGCAAGUGGUGUAGCUGGCGGGAGUUUUCAUGUAGUGCGCCCAUUUUCUCAGUGAGGUAGGAAGCAAGGUCAUGAGCCAAGAGCAAGGGAGGGAAGGAGGCACUGGAGGACUGAGGGAGGAGAAGGCAUGAAACAGUCAUGUGGAAGGGCAGGAGAGAGAAUGACCAUGGAAAUACACAUGCAUGCCAAGCAGCAUUGAGGGCUAUUUGAGGUCAGUGAUUAGGAAUCUAAAGUGAGGCAGGCCAUGAGUCAGAGGUAUGACUGUGGAGGUGGGAGGCUGAGAUCAGAAGGAAGACAGGUCAGUGGAGGAGAGGUCAAGGAUGUCAGCAGCCAUGGAUGUGGAAGGAGUGACAGCCACAACUUGCUCCAGGAUUCGGUGUUGUUGAAGGAAAAGGACCAGUCAGUGCUCAGAUUCCAUUUCUACCUGAUGCACUUCCCUAGUAAAUGGAGGAUAACCAAAUUGAGCAUCAUCCAAUUCAGUAAGUAACAAACAAGGUGGUAUUAUCAGAGAGAGGGCCACAGAUAGUCUUCUGUGAAGAGGCUAAGGGUGAGGGAGGGCUUGCUGGCAAUGAAACAAGGUUUCAGAGGUCUCACAGAAAUAUCUGCCAGUAGAAGAAUGACUUGUGGAGAGGAAGGUCCAAGUGCGGAGUGAGGAGAACAUGGCCAAGAGGUGACAUGGCUAAGAGGCAUGAUGGAGCUGCCAGUUUCUCAGUGGGACCCUCCUGAGGAAGGUGCUUCCCACUGGCCCAGAGCUAGUGAGUGCUUCCUGCCAGUGCCUGUCUGGAGCUUCUGCUCAGGCCUCCAACCAUUCAAGGGGGAAAGUGCUUUUUGGGCCUCAGAUGGUAGGAGUUAGUGAGGGCUCGCCCAUGGAAGGAGGGACUGAGCUCCAGGCUGGUGGGUUAGUUUUAACACUUCCACCAUCAUGGUGGAACUACAUAGUUGGUACUACUGUUAUCUCUAUUUUAAAAAACAGGCACAGAGAAGUUAAACAAGUUACUCAGGGUCACAAACCAGUAAAUGGCAGCAUGGGAUUAGGAAUCAGGAAAAUUAUAAACUACUAUAUAAAGAAGUUAAAAAGAAUGCUAUGCAUUGGUUUAGAUGGGAGGUUGAAGAUUUCCAUUUAUCUCUCAUAUCCAUUUGGAGAGAUCAUCAAAAGAACAGCAAAGAAACAAAAAGGCAUCCAUAAUAAUGAGGGAAAUGGGAAGAAGGCCAUCAGCACAUAGGAAAAGUCUGUAAAUUUCUGGAAAUCAGAAAAUAAAUCAAAGAGUAUAGCAUGAUAAAACUGAGUGUAGAAAAUUACAGCCUAGAACCCAGAUGGAGGCAGGCUUUGGCUAUGGAAAAAGCCAACCAGUACAGCAAAGCCUUGGAAAGGCUUUGUACCUGGACAAUGCCCUCAUAAUGGUAGGAAGAGUGAUAUGGAAGUUCAUCUCUCCCUAUAAUCCUAUGUGCAAAUGGCUGCAGCUAAGUAACUCUCAGAUGCAUACAUACAUGUGCCACACAUGCACACACAAAAUAGAUCUUUACUAAACAAAUUAAGUGAACUUUCUUGGGGUGGAAGGUAGGAGGACUAAGGGAGCUCAAAACACCUUCCACAUUCUGGCAUUGGGGGAUGGGCAGUGUAUUCUGCACCCUCCCCCUCUCCCCUUUGUCUUCUAUCAUAAAGCAAAGUCUUUGCCUCUUGGAAAACCUCACCCAUAUCAUGAAGGCCUGAGCCAGCCAUGCUACUGGCUAAUUCUCAAUAUGAACAGAUAGCCAAGACUCACCAAACACUUGAGAAAAGUCUUCAUGAAGAAAAUCAGACAGACACACAGCUAUGCACAUAUACCCCAUGGCAAAAAAGAAGAAAAUGAAUCCAGAUGAAACAGAUAAUUCUGAGAACAGGAGAGAGGGUUUUUUUUAAAAAAAGGACAGCAGCCUCAGGGAGAACUAAGAAAAUCCUGUAUUCAUACAACAAGAGCAGACACUCACAGAAAAGGAACAAUUGAAAGCCAGAAAGAGUUCUUGGAAAUUACCAUAUGAUUGUCAAAAUGAAAACUUCAAUAGAAAAGCUGAGGAAUCUAAUCUAAGAAUCUUUCAUAUAAUAGAACUAAGAAGGGGCUAGAAAAAAAAAACAGGAAAAAAUGAAGAAAAUAUUAAAAGUGUAAAAAUCAGUAAAAUAGAAAUCAAUCGAUAGAAGAAAAUCAAUAAGAACAAACGUUUUUUAAAAAGAUCAGUAAACUAAACCUCUAGCUAAACUAAUUAAGAAUAAAAGAAGAAAGACAUAAAUUACCAAUAUCAGGAAUAAAAAAGGAGAUAUCAUUAAAUGUUCUAUAGAAAUUAAAACCAUAACAAGAAAAUAAUGUGAACAACUUUAUACCUGUAAGUUAAAAAACUUAGAUGACA